RNAcentral lists this ribosomal RNA (1452 nucleotides) under uncultured Gemmatimonadota bacterium. Its description in RNAcentral is "bacterial SSU rRNA". It matches the Rfam family "Bacterial small subunit ribosomal RNA". Lineage: Bacteria; Pseudomonadati; Gemmatimonadota. The record is from RNAcentral.
GGCGGCAUGCUUAACACAUGCAAGUCGAGGGCGAAAGCCUCCUUCGGGAGGCAAGUAGACCGGCGAACGGGUGCGUAACACGUGAGCAACCUGCCUGGGAGAGGGGGAUAACCCGGGGAAACCCGGGCUAAUACCGCAUGACGUGGCUUGUCCGCAUGGUCGAGUCACUAAAGAGGGCGUCUUUUAGCGGAGCUCUUGCUUCCAGAUGGGCUCGCGGCCUAUCAGCUCGUUGGCGGGGUAACGGCCCACCAAGGCGAUGACGGGUAGCUGGUCUCAGCGGAUGAUCAGCCACACGGGGACUGAGACACGGCCCCGACUCCUACGGGAGGCAGCAGUGGGGAAUUUUGGACAAUGGGCGAAAGCCUGAUCCAGCGACGCCGCGUGCGGGAGGAAGCCCCUCGGGGUGUAAACCGUUGUCAGGGGGGAAGAAAAGGCUCGACAUAAUACUCCGGGCUCUUGACGGUACCUCCAGAGGAAGCGCCGGCUAACUCCGUGCCAGCAGCCGCGGUAAUACGGAGGGCGCGAGCGUUGUCCGGAAUUACUGGGCGUAAAGGGGGCGCAGGCGGUUUGCUAAGUCCUGUGUGAAAUCCCACGGCUCAACCGUGGAAUGCCACAGGAUACUGGCGAGCUUGAGACGGGUAGAGGCGAGUGGAAUUCCCGGUGUAGCGGUGGAAUGCGUAGAUAUCGGGAAGAACACCAGUGGCGAAGGCGACUCGCUGGGCCCGUUCUGACGCUCAGGCCCGAAAGCGUGGGGAGCAAACAGGAUUAGAUACCCUGGUAGUCCACGCCGUAAACGAUGGGCACUAGGUGCUGGGAAGUGUGACCUUUUCGGUGCCGCAGCUAACGCGUUAAGUGCCCCGCCUGGGGAGUACGGCCGCAAGGCUGAAACUCAAAGGAAUUGACGGGGGCCCGCACAAGCGGUGGAGCAUGUGGUUUAAUUCGAUGCAACGCGAAGAACCUUACCUGGGCUUGACAUGCUAGGGAAGUCGGGUGGAAACAUCCGGUGCCCUUCGGGGCUCUAGCACAGGUGCUGCAUGGCUGUCGUCAGCUCGUGUCGUGAGAUGUUGGGUUAAGUCCCGCAACGAGCGCAACCCUUACCCGUAGUUGCCAGCGGGUGAUGCCGGGGACUCUACGGGGACUGCCGGUGAUAAACCGGAGGAAGGUGAGGACGACGUCAAGUCAUCAUGGCCCUUACGCCCAGGGCGACACACGUGCUACAAUGGCCGGUACAAUGGGCCGCGAUCCCGUGAGGGUGAGCCAAUCCCAAAAAGCCGACCUAAGUUCGGAUCGGAGUCUGCAACUCGACUCCGUGAAGCCGGAAUCGCUAGUAAUCGCGGAUCAGCCAUGCCGCGGUGAAUACGUUCCCGGGCUUUGUACACACCGCCCGUCACGCCAUGGAAGCCGGGGGGACCCGAAGUCAGUGGCCCAACCCUUCGGGGAGGGAGCUGCCGA